AUUGAACGCUGGCGGCAGGCCUAACACAUGCAAGUCGAGCGGUAACACAGGGAGCUUGCUCCUGGGUGACGAGCGGCGGACGGGUGAGUAAUGUCUGGGAAACUGCCUGAUGGAGGGGGAUAACUACUGGAAACGGUAGCUAAUACCGCAUAACGUCGCAAGACCAAAGAGGGGGACCUUCGGGCCUCUUGCCAUCAGAUGUGCCCAGAUGGGAUUAGCUAGUAGGUGGGGUAAUGGCUCACCUAGGCGACGAUCCCUAGCUGGUCUGAGAGGAUGACCAGCCACACUGGAACUGAGACACGGUCCAGACUCCUACGGGAGGCAGCAGUGGGGAAUAUUGCACAAUGGGCGCAAGCCUGAUGCAGCCAUGCCGCGUGUAUGAAGAAGGCCUUCGGGUUGUAAAGUACUUUCAGCGAGGAGGAAGGCGAUAAGGUUAAUAACCUUGUCGAUUGACGUUACUCGCAGAAGAAGCACCGGCUAACUCCGUGCCAGCAGCCGCGGUAAUACGGAGGGUGCAAGCGUUAAUCGGAAUUACUGGGCGUAAAGCGCACGCAGGCGGUCUGUCAAGUCGGAUGUGAAAUCCCCGGGCUCAACCUGGGAACUGCAUUCGAAACUGGCAGGCUAGAGUCUUGUAGAGGGGGGUAGAAUUCCAGGUGUAGCGGUGAAAUGCGUAGAGAUCUGGAGGAAUACCGGUGGCGAAGGCGGCCCCCUGGACAAAGACUGACG
Molecule: ribosomal RNA, 726 nt
Filed under: Raoultella sp.
Lineage: Bacteria; Pseudomonadati; Pseudomonadota; Gammaproteobacteria; Enterobacterales; Enterobacteriaceae
Also listed under: 1 other name
Description: bacterial SSU rRNA
Rfam family: Bacterial small subunit ribosomal RNA
Source: RNAcentral